RNAcentral lists this transfer RNA (90 nucleotides) under Sodalis endosymbiont of Henestaris halophilus. Its description in RNAcentral is "tRNA-Ser". It matches the Rfam family "tRNA". Rfam says of the family: Transfer RNA (tRNA) molecules are approximately 80 nucleotides in length. Their secondary structure includes four short double-helical elements and three loops (D, anti-codon, and T loops). The record is from RNAcentral. Lineage: Bacteria; Pseudomonadati; Pseudomonadota; Gammaproteobacteria; Enterobacterales; Bruguierivoracaceae.
GGUGAGGUGUCCGAGUGGCUGAAGGAGCACGCCUGGAAAGUGUGUAUAUGCAAAAGUAUAUCGAGGGUUCGAAUCCCUCUCUCACCGCCA